AUCCAGACUCCUACGGGAGGCAGCAGUGGGGAAUAUUGCACAAUGGGGGAAACCCUGAUGCAGCGACGCCGCGUGAGCGAUGAAGUAUUUCGGUAUGUAAAGCUCUAUCAGCAGGGAAGAAGAUGACGGUACCUGACUAAGAAGCCCCGGCUAACUACGUGCCAGCAGCCGCGGUAAUACGUAGGGGGCAAGCGUUAUCCGGAUUUACUGGGUGUAAAGGGAGCGUAGACGGCGAUGCAAGCCAGAUGUGAAAGCCCGGGGCUCAACCCCGGGACUGCAUUUGGAACUGUGUGGCUGGAGUGUCGGAGAGGCAGGCGGAAUUCCUAGUGUAGCGGUGAAAUGCGUAGAUAUUAGGAGGGACACCAGUGGCGAAGGCGGCCUGCUGGACGAUGACUGACGUUGAGGCUCGAAAGCGUGGGGAGCAAACAGGAUUAGAUACCCGCGUAC
Molecule: ribosomal RNA, 447 nt
Filed under: uncultured bacterium
Lineage: Bacteria
Description: bacterial SSU rRNA
Rfam family: Bacterial small subunit ribosomal RNA
Source: RNAcentral